AGAGUUUGAUCCUGGCUCAGAAUCAACGCUGGCGGCGUGCCUAACACAUGCAAGUCGAACGAGAAAGUGGAGCAAUCCAUGAGUAAAGUGGCGACCGGGUGAGUAACACGUGACUAACCUACCUUUUAGUGGGGGAUAACUCCGGGAAACCGGAGCUAAUACCGCAUAACAUCGCAAGAUCAAAGCAGCAAUGCGCUGGA
RNAcentral lists this ribosomal RNA (200 nucleotides) under uncultured bacterium. Its description in RNAcentral is "partial 16S ribosomal RNA". It matches the Rfam family "Bacterial small subunit ribosomal RNA", at positions 8 to 222 of the family's 1533-position model. The record is from RNAcentral.